UAGUUUGACUGGGGCGGUCUCCUCCUAAAGAGUAACGGAGGAGCACGAAGGUUGGCUAAUCCUGGUCGGACAUCAGGAGGUUAGUGCAAUGGCAUAAGCCAGCUUGACUGCGAGCGUGACGGCGCGAGCAGGUGCGAAAGCAGGUCAUAGUGAUCCGGUGGUUCUGAAUGGAAGGGCCAUCGCUCAACGGAUAAAAGGUACUCCGGGGAUAACAGGCUGAUACCGCCCAAGAGUUCAUAUCGACGGCGGUGUUUGGCACCUCGAUGUCGGCUCAUCACAUCCUGGGGCUGAAGUAGGUCCCAAGGGUAUGGCUGUUCGCCAUUUAAAGUGGUACGCGAGCUGGGUUUAGAACGUCGUGAGACAGUUCGGUCCCUAUCUGCCGUGGGCGCUGGAGAACUGAGGGGGGCUGCUCCUAGUACGAGAGGACCGGAGUGGACGCAUCACUGGUGUUCGGGUUGUCAUGCCAAUGGCACUGCCCGGUAGCUAAAUGCGGAAGAGAUAAGUGCUGAAAGCAUCUAAGCACGAAACUUGCCCCGAGAUGAGUUCUCCCUGACCCUUUAAGGGUCCUGAAGGAACGUUGAAGACGACGACGUUGAUAGGCCGGGUGUGUAAGCGCAGCGAUGCGUUGAGCUAACCGGUACUAAUGAACCGUGAGGCUUAACCUU
RNAcentral lists this ribosomal RNA (665 nucleotides) under Escherichia coli. RNAcentral describes it as "partial 23S ribosomal RNA". It matches the Rfam family "Bacterial large subunit ribosomal RNA", at positions 2266 to 2925 of the family's 2925-position model. RNAcentral also lists the same sequence under 1 other name. Lineage: Bacteria; Pseudomonadati; Pseudomonadota; Gammaproteobacteria; Enterobacterales; Enterobacteriaceae. The record is from RNAcentral.